This 253-nucleotide ribosomal RNA is filed under the name uncultured bacterium. Its description in RNAcentral is "partial 16S ribosomal RNA". It matches the Rfam family "Bacterial small subunit ribosomal RNA", at positions 524 to 776 of the family's 1533-position model. The record is from RNAcentral.
UACGUAGGGGGCAGGCGUUGUCCGGAUUCAUUGGGCGUAAAGAGCGUGUAGGCGGCCAGACAGGUCCGUUGUGAAAACUGGAGGCUCAACCUCCAGACGUCGAUGGAAACCGUCUGGCUAGAGUCCGGAAGAGGAGAGUGGAAUUCCUGGUGUAGCGGUGAAAUGCGCAGAUAUCAGGAAGAACACCCGUGGCGAAAGCGGCUCUCUGGGACGGUACUGACGCUGAGACGCGAAAGCGUGGGGAGCGAACAGG